UGAAUCCACGCGGGAGAGUUCCCGGCCGCGCGCAGCGCGCGGGCCCGCCGGGGCGCCGAAGGAGCAAGUCCUCCCUUGAAUCUCUCAGGCACCGAUACCGCGCAGGACGA
Molecule: non-coding RNA, 110 nt
Filed under: Streptomyces sp.
Lineage: Bacteria; Bacillati; Actinomycetota; Actinomycetes; Kitasatosporales; Streptomycetaceae
Also listed under: 1 other name
Description: Glycine sequence
Rfam family: Glycine riboswitch aptamer
About the family: This family represents the bacterial glycine riboswitch.
Source: RNAcentral